This 470-nucleotide ribosomal RNA is filed under the name uncultured bacterium. RNAcentral's name for it is "partial 16S ribosomal RNA". It matches the Rfam family "Bacterial small subunit ribosomal RNA", at positions 28 to 507 of the family's 1533-position model. The record is from RNAcentral.
GACGAACGCUGGCUGCGUGCUUAACACAUGCAAGUCGAACGCUGAAGCCCCAGCUUGCUGGGGUGCAUGAGUGGCGAACGGGUGAGUAACACGUGAGUAACCUGCCCCUGACUUCGGGAUAAGUCCGGGAAACUGGGUCUAAUACCGGAUACGACUACCGGACGCAUGUUUGGUGGUGGAAAGUUUCUUCGGUUGGGGAUGGGCUCGCGGCGUAUCAGCUUGUUGGUGAGGUAAUGGCUCACCAAGACGACGACGGGUAGCCGGCCUGAGAGGGUGACCGGGGACACAUGGGGAGGGAGACAGGGCAGAGACCUAUGCGGGGCGGCGGUGGGGGGUAUUGUGCAAUAUGGGAGGAAGCGAUACAGAGACGCGGCGUGUGGGGGAAGAGGGUUCGGGUGGUGUACCGCUUUCAGGAGGGUAGAGGAGCGCGAGUGACGGUACUGGGUGAAGAAGUACCGGCUAACUACGUG